GCGCGCACGCCGCCGCAGGCUCCCUCCGCACGGGCGCGAGCACGCCACCGUCCUGGCCGUUGGAAGCGCGGCCGCUCCGGCUGGCCCUGGAGGGCGGGGCUGUAGGGGAAAGUGCCAAAACCAUUGAGUGAAGUGAGAAUUCUACUAGAGAGGAAAUGGCUGCCUCUUCAUCAUCAUCCUCAGCUGGUGGGGUCAGUGGAAGUUCUGUCACUGGAUCUGGUUUCAGUGUCUCAGACCUUGCCCCGCCACGGAAAGCCCUUUUCACCUACCCCAAAGGAGCUGGAGAGAUGUUAGAAGAUGGAUCUGAGAGAUUCCUCUGCGAAUCCGUUUUCAGCUAUCAAGUGGCAUCUACGCUUAAACAGGUGAAACAUGAUCAGCAAGUUGCUCGGAUGGAAAAACUAGCUGGUUUGGUAGAAGAGCUGGAGGCAGAUGAGUGGCGGUUUAAACCCAUCGAGCAGCUGCUUGGGUUCACACCCUCUUCAGGUUGACCUUGCCUGGAUGGUCGCCUCUGGUGCACAGCAAGUGCAGGGCCAGCAAGGGACUUUUCUUACAGCUUACAUAGCCAUCCAGAGAUUCACAGCUCCAUUGCUGAAUUGUUAAUUCACAUCCAUACUUGGUUUCUCUGUAUCUAAAGCAACAAAUACUUAUGUAUGAUCUUGCAGGGAAAAUUUUUUUUUAUUUGUUUAAAAAAAUAUUGAGAAUCAUAUUAAGACAAUCGGCAUAAGAGAACCAGGAGGUUUGGGUUUAAGAGAUACUUAUAAUACUUCACAAGCCAGGGAGGACACCUACCCGAAUUGGCCAACUGAAUGGCAUCUCUCUUGCCAUUCAUGCAGUGCCUGGAAUCCUCACAGUCAAGUCCAAGGUCAGCACCUGGAUUUAUAAAAUACAGCAUUUCUGACCUAAAACAGUUCUUUUUUGCAGAUGAAUGUGAUUUCAACUCAGGAUCUGUCCAAAUGAGGAAUUUUGAAAUGUUCGGGGUUUUUUCUAUUUUUAGACAUUCUAUAGAUUCUAACUUUUUCUAACCUCUUCUAGACAUGCCAAGUGCUGGCAAAAAGAAUUGCUUUUUGAAUGUUGAAGCACUUGUAAAAAUAAAGCAGUGAGCAAAAUCCUUUUAAAAAGAAAUCCUGAGUUCACCUUGUUGGUGGGCUCAAGCAAUUCUAUAGCAAAUAAAUCCUUUGAAAGAGCUCCAGAUUAGUUUCUUUAUCCUUUCAAAGUCUCAGGGAUUUAGGAUAGGGGGAAGAGGUCAAAUUACUUUUUAUAAGAAGGGAAUCUAAAAACCAUUUCCCCUAAGCAAAUGGUAGAUUUGUUUUUAUCUCAGGGAUAUUUGUCCUUACAGAAGUAUGUGAAUUUAUCUUAUCAAUAUCUGAGUAGGUGGGGCUGGCA
Non-coding RNA from Ceratotherium simum simum (southern white rhinoceros), 1383 nucleotides. Lineage: Eukaryota; Metazoa; Chordata; Mammalia; Perissodactyla; Rhinocerotidae. The record is from RefSeq and is a predicted model, not a curated record.